UGUGUCCAACAAACCACAGAGCCACACGU
This 29-nucleotide non-coding RNA is filed under the name Rattus norvegicus (Norway rat). The record is from RNAcentral. Lineage: Eukaryota; Metazoa; Chordata; Mammalia; Rodentia; Muridae.